RNAcentral lists this ribosomal RNA (633 nucleotides) under uncultured bacterium. RNAcentral's name for it is "bacterial SSU rRNA". The stretch from base 1 to 529 matches the Rfam family "Bacterial small subunit ribosomal RNA", at positions 338 to 873 of the family's 1533-position model. The record is from RNAcentral.
CCUACGGGAGGCAGCAGUGGGGAAUUUUCCGCAAUGGGCGAAAGCCUGACGGAGCAAUACCGCGUGAGGGAAGAAUGCCUACGGGUUGUAAACCUCUUUUAUCAGGGAGGAACAAAAUGACGUGUACCUGAUGAAUAAGCAUCGGCUAACUCUGUGCCAGCAGCCGCGGUAAGACAGAGGAUGCAAGUGUUAUCCGGAAUUACUGGGCGUAAAGCGUCUGUAGGUUGUUGAACAAGUCAACUGUUAAAUCUUGAAGCUCAACUUCAAAAUCGCAGUCGAAACUGUUUGACUAGAGUAUAGUAGAGGUAAAGGGAAUUUCCAGUGGAGCGGUGAAAUGCGUAGAUAUUGGAAAGAACACCGAUGGCGAAAGCACUUUACUGGGCUAUUACUGACACUCAGAGACGACAGCUAGGGUAGCAAAUGGGAUUAGAUACCCCAGUAGUCCUAGCCGUAAACUAUGGAUACUAGAUGUUGAAACAGAUACGACCUCGUGCAGUAUUAAAGUACUAACGUACGUUAAGUAUCCGUCCGUCGGAGUAGUGCGUCGCGAGAGUAAGUAAACGUUAAAGUUAGUUAAGUUAGUUACGGUUCGUGAGACGUUGCCGACGGACGACGACGAGGGGAGGUUAGGAG